AGCAAAACUGUGUACUAAAGUAUACCAUAUUAUAUAUUCACUGUGUAGAUCUACUCAUCAGGAGUCCAACAAAAUUAAAUUUUUCAUUUUAUGAUUUUUCUAGGAUUUAUUAUGAUUUUUCAAAGAUUCAGUGGAAAUAAAUAAAAAGAUAAAAAUAAAACCACCCUCCAAAACCACUCGAGGGGGGUUAUUUGACCGAUUUUGAAAGUUCAGAAGAUAGGAUAUCUGGUUUUAUAGUUCAGAGGGGUGAAAAAGUUCAACCUAAAUAAUUUGGGGAGUUAUGUAGACUUUUUUCUAUAAUUAGCCAACAAGUUCAAUUUUCAAGCUUGUCCUCGCACAACUACUACAACCCAAGUUCCAAGCAAAUUUAUCUGUUUCGAUCUCACGCCUCCUCACCCUCCCUCUUCUUUUAAGGCCUUGUUUAGAUCCGAAAAGAUUUUAGAUUUUAACAUUGUAGUAUUUUUAUUCUUAUCUGACAAACAUUAUCCAAUCAUUAAGAAACUAGGCUUAAAAGAUCCGUCUCGCGAUUUAUAAGCAAACUGUGCAAUUAGUUUUUAUUUUUAUCUGUAUUUAAUACUUCAUGCAUAUGCCGCAAUAUUCGAUGCGACGGAAAAUCUUGAAAAAAUUUUGGUUUUUAGGGUGAACUAAACAAGGCUUAAAUGGAAAACAUGCUGACACACGGUCACCUACUUGUAAAAUUUCAAGCUUUUUCUCUAAAUGGUAAACGUUUUUAUCAUACAGUACACGCACUUUAGAGCUCGUUGAACAUCGGAGCUCAAGCUGACAGAUGAGCCUAUGCUUUCGUUAGAAAAACUAGUUUUGUGUACUAGUAGCUUUUAUGUUCUGUGAUGAAUCCUCUUCGGCCCAUCUGGCCCGUCAUGACUCAACGAAUUCUUUUAGCGGAAGGAAUGGCUGUACAGCCAGCAUUCUUAGUCCUGGGCCCAAUUCAACUGCACUACUAUUGCCGCGCGCCGCACAACCCACGCGUCGGAGCCUAAAGCGCAAUAUCAUUGGGCCGUAUUUUUUUCCAUUCAUAGGCACACACUUUUGGCACACCCAACAUUUUCUUUUCAUUUCUUUAUUUUUUGUUUUUCCCAUUCUAACGUAGUCUCCUUUUUUCUUUUCUUUUAUUUUCAUUUUCUUUGGCAUUUUAAUUCUCCUUUUGUUUAUUCAAAUAGAUUUCAUUCGUCCAUUUCAUUUUCUUUCUUUUAUUUUUCUCUCUACUCAUGAACUAGAAUAUUGUUCUCUUAAGAUAGGAAUAUAUUAUUCUCCAAAGUUGGAGAUAUUAUUCUCUUUGGUUUCUAUUUCCUUUGCACUCGUAGAAAUCAAAUACUUUUCUUCUAAACAUAGAACAUUAAUUAACUAAGCAUGGAAAAUAUUUUUUUUCUAAACUAAAAAGUAUUCUCCUUGACCAAAGUUUUAAUCUAUUCAUUUGUCAUUGAUUUAACUUUUUACUUGUGGAUAAGAAUAAUCUCUUGACCUAGAAUAUAUAUCAUUCAUGUGAACCUAAAAUAUUAUUUUCUAAAAAAAUAAUAUUGUUUUGUUGGACUUGAGUGUUUCUCUUUAUGAAACAAUAUUCUUAUGAACUUGGAAUAUUAUUCUCCUAAACUUGGAAUAAUUUUACUUUCCUAAUUUAUGGAAUGUAUAUUAUUUACUUUUGCUUUUUAAUUGUAUUAUUUUUCAAAAAAAAUUCCAAUUAUUGGACUAGAAUAUUAUUUUAUGAUCUAGAAUAUUAUACUCCUGAUUUAGAAUACAAUUUAUCUUAACCUCAAAUUUAUUAUCCUAAUUAAAACUAGAAUAUUAUUCUCCUGAAUCUAGACCUUUUUCUUGUACAUGCAGUGAAGGAACCGUGGCCUUUAAGAGUGGGGUUGAAUUAGGUUACUUAAAACUAAGACCAAAAACUACUUAUUAAAACAUACUCAAGUCGACAUAGCCUAACUGAAAGCUUAACACUGUUAAAUCAUGGAAUAAAUUUAGAAAAAAUCGAGCACCUAUGCCAUGUCGAGGACUUAGCAAUGUCAUAUUAAGUUGAAACCAGAUACAAUUGAAAGGAUAUCAAAUAAGUUUUCUAUCAAGUAUUCAUAGGCCUCAAUCACACUUUGGUGAAAAGAGUUAUGGCAUCACAAUAUGGUACAGUUAGGCUGUAGGUGAACAGAACAUUGGCCUUCGAUUUGUUUGCACUCUAAGAUCGUUCUUGAACAUGGUGUAUCCAUACCCUAUAAGUUGUAGAAACCCUGCAUAGUUUCCAAAGUGCACAUCAAGAUACCUUUGUUGUUAAGCAAAUUGAAAAUAGCUAUAUAUUAGGUACCAACAAAUUCUUAUUGAUACCAUUUACAAACAUAGGAACGAGUGUAAGGACAUAUUUGCCUAAAUGGUCAUUUAACCUAUUUACACAUCAUUUAAAUGCUACACAGUGGUAUGCUAUUUUCAUUUAAUCAGCCUUUUAUCCAUUUAAAUGCCUGUUUUGCCUGUUUAAAUGGUUGCCUUGCCAGAAUGAUAUGGCUAAUAAACCACAAGUGACUGAUUAUUUACCAUCUAGGAUAAAAAUUUUAAGGAUCAUGUGUCUAUAAUAUAUCAUAUCUUUUAGGAAUGGUGAUUACGAUGACAAGACAAUUCUUAGACUAACAUGUAUGUGAAACAAUAUCACAUACAUGAUUUUUACAUAGAUCGAAACAGGUUUAUGGAGAAAGACAGGGAGUCUAUCUCCGGGUUACCAUGACUACAAAUCAGUAUUUUCGGAGGCGAGCAAAUGACCGCCACUGAUUAAAACAUAAAAAACAAAAGCCUAGCAUCGAGCCUGCUACUAGGCUCAUUCACCAAGCCUGGGCCUCGACCUAGGCCAUGCGUUGUUGAUCCGCAUGUCACACCUUUGAUCCACACACAACUGCCAUGCAUCUGGCUACAGUGUCGUUGACUCAACGACUGAGGGCCCAACCAACCACACCGCUCCAAUGGACCAUCGACCAAACUGCCACUCCUCCACCAAAUUUGGUCGUCCCACCACUAGAUUUAUUACCUCGACUCGAGUGGCUGGGCCACCGUGUCACCACUCAUGCAUGGCCCUCAGACAAGCUGUCAUACCACUACCGUCGUCCUAGCGCACCUUCAGGAACCACCCCUUCUCACCCUAAAACCACCACCACACGUGCUCUGUGGGGCCACAUGAUCAGAGAUCCGCCGGUCACCACCGCUCGAGCCAGUCGUCGGAUCCACCACUAAGUGAGGCGCAGAUGGGAGGCGAGGUGUGCCUCAUGGUCCUAUAUGGGCCGCACCAUCAGAGGUGGCUCGGCCCACAGGAUGAAGACGUGCGGCGCACGACUGGUCGGCGUGCACCGCAAGGCUACAAGAUAUUGUACCAAAUAGGAUAGUUUACUUGUAACUCUGUCCCUUCACGAUAUAUAAGGAAGGGCAGGGGUCCCCUAGAGGACAAGUCAGAAUCAUAUUCUCUCAACACAAAUCAAUACAACCAGACGCAGGACGUAGGUAUUACGCCAACUCGGCGGCCGAACCUGGAUAAAAAGCUUGUCCUUGUCUUGCGUCACCAUCGAGUUCGUAGUUUGCGCACCGUCUACCGAUAAACUACUACCGUGGGUAUACCCCAAGGUAGACUGCCGACCAGCUUUCGUCGACAGUGUGCGAGAGCGCGGCUGAGGAAGAGAGGCAUGGGGGAGGGAGGAGAUAUUUUAAGAAAACUAAGUGGUUCUUAUAUAUCUGACCAUCAUAUUAGGCUUGGUGGGUUUCGAACCUGUUUCAAGAGGUGGGCCUCUAUAAAUGAAUUUACAGGGACCAGGGACGAAGCCAGAAAAAAUUUUAGGAGGAGUUGAACAAAAUUGCUAUAUCGACUUAACUUUACUAUAACCCCUCACAAUAUAUAGAAAAAAUAUAUUAGUUUAAAGUAGUCUUAUAUUAAUUCACAAAAUAUAUUUAAAAAUAAAAGUCUCAGCCCACCCUAUCUUAUAAAUUUGUGUCUAAAAUUAGAAGAAAAACACUAGAAGCUCCACUGGAUCAGCAGCGGUAGGGGGGCUGGAGCCCCCCUAGCCCCACCGCUAGCUUCGUCCCUGACAGGGACGAAUGUUUUUAAACUGCUUUCGUAAUUGGUGCUACCACUCCAAAAUUUAGUAGCUAUUUUGGGAGACACUAAUAAUAUUAGACCAUCUACGUUAAUAAAAUCCCUUGUCUCCUAAAAACAUUGUAGUAGUGAAAGAUGUGUUAGACAUGUUAUAAUAGAUUUUAGGGAUGCAAGGUUAAGGUUUAAUCAAGAUCCGAGUUAAGACAAAGAAGUGAAGAAACAACACAGAUAGAUUUCUUUCAGAUUCCCCGUCAGAGCAUUCACAGAACAAGUUUAUCAUCAGGCAUGUUGGAUCAUGGUGGAAUCUAGUAAGAUGGCCACGAAGUGCUGGUAAUCGUGGAAUCCAAAAAGUUAGUUAGGUAGACCGUGCACACCAAAUGAUACGUUGAAAAGAAGAAUGAACUGAUGGACAAUCCAGUGCAUAUAAUAGAGUUGGCAUAGUUGAAGACCCAAAUUACCAAAGCCCUGAAAGCUUGAUUGGUUGGACGAAUUAUUAUAGUGAUCGUUAUAUUAGAGCAGGAGAAAUUUAUUUUCCACGGAGAUUGAAGAAUUUUUGUGGAAGGAACCAAUGACAAUCGGAUAGGAUUGAGUGAGAUUGACUGAUUCUUAACUUGAGCAGACACCACAGAGAGAAAUAAAUCGAUUUGGAGUGGGGUACAUAUGUACGUGGUUGGCUGCCUGAGGAAGGAAACGAACCAGUACUACUGCUGACUCUGUGCUAUCUCCUAUCUCUCACCUGAUCAAUCAAAAGCUGAUAAUUGGUUGCCCAUCCUAUUCUCCGUUUGUCCUCUCGGCUGCUGAUUUGCAGUAGUGUGACCUCGAUGGACAUUCGGGGUCUGAAAAAAGGGUUUCUAUGGUCCACCCCUGCACUGCAUAUGAAUAAUGAUCAUGAUUAGUGCUCGAUAUCCUGAUAUAUAGGUUGCUGCGCGUAACAGUGUACGCUACUUAGGUCCUCCUAGCUAGGCCUGCAAGCUACCAGCUGCUAGCUGCUACAUCUAUAUAUAAAAGGCAUCGCCGCGAGCAAACAUAAAAAGCAAAUCCAAAGCUGAAAGGUAGCUGAGUCCCCUUAUACAUAGACACUACUUGAGCUACAUUUUAGUAGAGUAAUGUCGAUGCAUUACUUGGUUUCUGUAUCUGUGACCUGCUUGGCUCUGGGAGUGGGAGCUAUCUUGGUCUUGAGAAGGAGGAACGGCGGCCGAACGUGCGAAGGAGCGAGGCUGCCACCGGGGUCGAGGGGCCUGCCGUUCAUUGGAGAGACGCUCCACUACUUGGCAGCGUCCUCAACUCUUGGGCUAUUGCCACCCUUCUUCGAGAAACGGUUGGAGAGGUAUACUAUAUCACUACUAGAAUAGAUGGCUUUGCCGAGUGCCCCAGGCAUUCGGCAAAGUUCUAAAACACUUGGCAAACACUUUGCCGAGUGUAACACUCGGCAAAGCGCACGCGGCAAAAAAACGGCAAAGGACGCUUUGCUGAGUGUUCUUUGUCGGACAUUCGGCAAAGAGUUUAUCGAGUACCGCUCCGACACUCGACAAAGUAAAGAUAUUGUGAAGGGAGGAGCUGUCGUUAGGUUUAGUUUGUCGAGUGUCGACCACCUAACACUCAGCAAAUUGUGGUAGUUUGCCGAGUGUCAAGGCAAAAACACUCGGCAAAGUGACCAGGUUUGCCGAGUGUUAGGUGGUCGACACUCGACAAAGUGCGUGUAUGUGUGCAUGUGUGUGUGGAUAAGGUGUGUGUGUCUGUGGGUACGAUGCUUUGUCGAGUGCCCCGAUCUAGCACUCGGCAAAGUUAAUUUUUGAAAAAAAGUCAAUUUUUUUUUGCCGAGUGUCAUAGCUUCACACUCGGCAAACUAAUAAUUUUUUUAUUUUGACCUCGAAAAAUUUUCUAGUCCUCCUACAAUAACUUAAACUACAAAUUCAAAUUUGAUAUGUUUCUCAAGACGGUUGCUAUAUUUAGUAAACUUAUUUUGUUUAAUUAAUUUUUUGGAUUCAAAUUUGAAUUGGAAGUCACUCGAAUAAUGGAAAAAAUGAAUGAACAAAUGAUAUUCUUGUUAUUGAGACUAAAUUAAUGCCCUAUCCAGGCACCAAAUUCAAAGAUCUUGUUCACGGAACAUGACCACAAACUUGCGGAUGAGUUGGUUUUAAAAUCUAUAAAAAGCAAAUAAAGUUAGAAAAUCAUAAACUUGGUUGACAUGUCAUGAUAUCGUAUGUGGAUCCUAUGAUAAAGACUUGAUAAGGUUUCACGAAAGUUGUGACGUAUCAUGCUUACAACCUUGACAUAUCCAAACAUAUGACAUGAUAUCGUAUGUGGAGAUGUCUUGAUUUAUAAGCAUCCUACGUCACAACUUCCACGAAACCUUAUCAAAUUUUUAUCAAAGCCUCUACAUAGGAUAUCAUGACAUGUUGACAAGUUUUAUGAUUUUUAAACUUUGUUUGCUUUUUAUAGAUUUUAAAACCAACUCGCCCGCAAAUUUGUAGUCAUGUUCCAUGAAUAAGAUGUUCGAAUUUGGUGGUCUAUUCUUGGAUACAGCCUUAAAUUAGUCUCAAUAACAAGAAUAUCAUUUUUUUAAUUUAUUUUUUUCCAUUAUUCGAGUGACUUCCAGUUCAAAUUUGAAUUACUAAAAAAUCAGUUAAAUGAAAUAAAUUGACUAAAUAUAGCAAACACUUAGAAAAACAUGCCAAAUUUUAACAUGUAGUUUAAUUAACUGUAGGAGUACCAGCGAAAAAUUUUGGAGAUCAAAACUCAAAAAAAAGUUUGUCGAGUGUCAGGGGUAGACACUCGGCAAAGCAUGUCUUUGCCAAGUGUCAACCCUGCGACAGCCGUCAGCUGUUGUCAUGGGGUGCCGAGAGUAAAAUUUUGCCGUGUGGUUGACACUCAGCAAAGCACCAAUUUGUCGAGUGUAAAUUUUCGCCGAGUGUCGUACACUAGGCAAAUGUCCAUUUUACCUAGUUAUUAUUUACCAAGUGUCGAACACUCGGCAAAGGGUUAUUUUGCCGAGUGUCACGUUUUACCUAGUACAACACUCGAUAAAACUAAUCUUUGCCGAGUGUCCAAUUUUUAACACGUUCCCGGAAGUGUAUAUAUACUAGUAAAUCACAAUAUAGCUUCCUCUUUAGGUAGCUUUCGUGGUUGCAUAGGCUAUUCAACGGGCCGGGGCUAUAGAACGCCCGUACAAAGGGGUCACAUGUUCAGAACUAGUACAUCUGCUUUUCAUAAACUUAUUAGUCAAACUUAGAGUCAUAUGAGUAUGACUUAUUAGGAUAAAACUGAAACAUAUCUUGCAAUUGCAUUUUGGAGACGAACGAAUGACUAUAUUUGCAGUGGCGGACCCAGGAUUUGGUUAUGACUAGGGCCAAAUCCUAGUAGCAAAAAGCCAAAAACUACACCAUCAUCUAUAUAAUCUAUGUGUCAUAUAUAUAUAAAUUGUUAUUACAAAGAAAAGUUUUUAGAUCAAGAAGUUCUCCAACUACAUAUCGCCAUACAAAAGAAUACAACAUUAAACUAUAAAAAUAAAUACUUAGCAAUGACAAGAAUACAACAUUGAACUAAAAAAUAAAUUCCUAGCAAUGACCUACUACAUUCACAUUUUUCAUGUUCUUUUCAGUAAUGCCUAAAUCUAGACAUGAGAUGUGAGAGUUAAUAAAAAAAGACAAACAAAAAAGUAACCUUACUUAAUGACAAUGGAUUUGUAGCCUAAAUAUAUCUUGUAGCGUCAGAAAGUAUUGCAACAUUGUCCAUCCAUUCAAGAUUUAUGGUAGAGUUUUCUUUUUGUUAAGAUCAGAAUAUAUGUAGUAGAAGAACUGCAGGGGAUUCAAUUACUUCAUAAAGCAUCCAAGCGAGAGGUCGAGACAACCAGAGAAGAGGCGUCGAUUCCUAAUGUGCCUAGACUGGUUGGCGUUAAAGCUAUUGGGCUAAACUCUGAUAAACAAAGGCAUUGUUCAAUUCACGAAAUUUUUUGGCUUUGGCUAUUAUAGCACUUUUGUUUGUAUUUGAUAAUUAUUGUCUAAUCAUGGACUAACUAGACUCAAAAGAUUCUUCUCAUAAAUUAUAGGCAAACUAUGCAAUUAGUUUAUAUUUUCGUCUAUAUUUAAUACUCCAUGUAUAUGUCUAAAGAUUCGAUGUUAUAAAAAAUUUAGAAUUUUUUUGGAAAAUAAACCUGGUCUAGAAAUUAAAAAGUUGUACCUAGAAUAUCUAGACUAUGACUAGGGCCAAGGCCCUAGUGGCCCUAGGCCUGAGUCCGCCAAUGUAUAUUUGUCUUCGAUCGACGAUGACCUCGUUACAACCCCUAUAGCUAGAUGGCUAGAUGCAUUGUUCCUGAGCGAUUUAUAACUAGGCCUUGUUUACUUCCACCCAAAAUCCCAAAAAUUUUCAAGAUUCCCCGUCACAUGAAUCUUUAAACAUAUGCAUGGAGUAUUAAAUAUAGAUAAAAAUAAAAACUAAUUGCACAGUUUGAUCGAAAUUGACGAGACGAAUCUUUUGAGCCUGGUUAAUCUAUGAUUGGACAAUAAUUACCACAAACAAACGAAAGUGCUACAGUGUCACGAAACUUUUUCAUUCAGGAACUAAACAAGGCCCUAAUCACGUCCGUACGUACGUGCGUGGUUAUAAAAACUCAAAGAAAUUGCAUGCUAGCUAGUACGUAAUGGAUCGAUGUCCAUGCUUGGACUUGUUGGAGUUUGCAGGUACGGCCCCAUCUUCCGGACGAGCCUAGUCGGGGAGGACCUCGUCGUGUCGCUGGACGCGGAGCUGAACGCUCAUAUCCUGAAGCAGGAGGAGCGUGGCUUCCAGAUUUGGUACCCACCCUCCUUCAUGCGCGUCUUCGGCGCCGACAACAUCACCUCUAAGAUCGGCGUGCUCCACCGCCACAUGAGGACCCUUGUGCUCCGCCUCUUCGGCCACCAGACCAUCCGCUCCGUGCUGCUGCACGACGUGCAGCGGAGCGCGCGCGACGAGCUCCGCUCAUGGCUCGACCGCCCGGACGUCGAGGUCAGGACGGCCAUCUCCAGGGUUAGUUCCUUAUUAAUUAGCUUCCUCUUUCUAUAGUAAGGUCCUGUUUGGUUGCUCCUGUUUUUUUUUUAACUCCUAUCACAUCAAAUGUUUAGAUACAUACAUGAAGUAUAUUUACAAAACUAAAAAUACAACACCUGUUAAAUUUUAAUACCCCUAGAAACACAGCUAGAGAAUAAUUUACGAGACGAAUCUUUUGAACCUAAUUAAUCCAUAAUUAGAUACACUAAUUGUUAAAUAAAACGAAAAUGCUAUGAUACCUAUUAAAUUUUAACACCCCUAACCAAACACCACCUAAUAACAAUAGAGCCAAUCGAAGUGCAUGUGCCAACGUCCCGUGUGUUUAUGCUUAUGAGUCUUCACUCUGCAGAUGAUAUUUGGCGUCACUGCAAAGAAGCUGAUCAGCCAUGAUGAUGCAGCAUCAGGGGGAAGGUUGUGGGAAUGCUUCCACGACUGGACUUCGGGGCUACUCUCAUUCCCAGUUCCCAUUCCUGGCACAACUUUCUACAGAUGCAUGCAGGGACGCAAGAACGUUAUGAAGGUGCUGAAGCAGCAACUCGGUGAGCGUAGGAACGCAGCGGAGCGCGAGACCGUGGAUUUCUUCGAUCUUGUGAUCGAUGAAUUGAACAAGCCAAACCCUAUGAUGGACAAGAGCACCGCGUUGGACUUGCUGUUCGCGAUGCUCUUUGCAAGCCAUGAGACGACGUCGAUGGUAUUAACCGUCAUACUCAAGUAUUUGACGGACAACCCCAAAGCUUUGCAAGAACUAACAGUAAGUAGAUUAAUUUAUUUAAACACUGUUCCCAUAAUUAUUUGAUUGUGUUAUGUAUCAGAACACACACCAACGUUUACAUCGAGUUCGUAUUUGACUGUGAUGUUAAUUUCCAGGAGGAGCAUGAAAGAAUCCUGGAAAGAAGGGUUGAUCGGGACUCCGAUAUCACGUGGGAGGAGUACAAGUCUAUGAAAUUCACAUCUCAUGUAUGUACUGACCUAAUUGUCAAAAAGAAAAUCAAUUUGGAAAAUGCACAAUGCAAAUAUAUCUUGUCCAUGCAUGGCAGAAUUCAAAUGGUUAUCUUGGACUAAUAUGCUUUCUAUAUCGGGCCCUUCUAUAUCACAUAGGUUAUACAUGAAUCUCUAAGGCUGGCAAACAUUGCUCUAGUCAUGUUCAGGAAAGCAGAUCAGGAUGUGCACACAAAUGGUAUGCAUAAUCAUGUCCAAUAAAAAAAUCUUCUAUCUACAUUUCCUACUACAUAUUUAAGAGAAUAUAAAUGAAACAUGUUAUACAUAUUAUGCACUCAGGGUACACAAUUCCAAAAGGAUCAAAGAUCAUGAUCUGUCCACUAGCAUCGCACUUGAAUAUGAAGGUUUACGAGGACCCCUCAGUGUUCAAUCCAUGGAGAUGGAAGGUAUAUAUGUGAAAUAAACUCAAAUCAAAUCAACAGAUUAAUCCUUGGCCCAAAGAUCACACAGGUGUGCAUUAUGUGUAUAGAAUAUUCCUGAACCAGUCGGUGCCUCUAAGGACUUUAUGGCCUUUGGGGGUGGUUUGCGGCUAUGUGCUGGUGCUGAUUUUUCCAAGAUGCAAAUGGCUAUGUUCCUCCAUUACUUGGUCAGAAAUUACAGGUAAAAAAGCUCUCCCUUUUACAGAGAGAGCUAUAAAAUGUUCAUCACUAUACAAAAGUACUUAUCAACUGUAUGACAAAAUCAAUAUUUUGUUUUCGUCAAUAGGUGGAAAACCGUCAGUGGUGGGACAAUGGUAUUCUAUCCAGGGCUGCAAUUUCCAGAUGGCUUCCACAUCCAACUUCUUCCAAAAAUCUGAAAUGUGGUUCUAGAAACCCUAUCAAGAAAUUAUGCGCAUGGUAUUAACAAUUAUGUUAUGAGUAGUAGUUAUGACUAAAUAAAUACAAAUAAGAACAAUUAUAUUUAUAUUUAUAGGGUGAAGGAGAAAAGGCUUAAAGUUCAAUAAUGAUGUGAUAGAUUAUUCGACCAAACUAUGUUUCAAGAGCACUGGGCAAUAUUGUACUACAAUGAUAGCUAGUGAGAACUACUUGCUUUAUAAACAGAUCGAGGGAGUAUGUGUUUAAUUUUUUGAACUUAUAAACAAUAAUAGAGUAAAUUUCACCCCCUGUGUAACAACUAUGUUCGUGAGUACAAAUUGGUUAAACAUCUUGUAAUAUGUCCAAUUCAAUGCAAAAAACUUGGUUGUUUGGUGUACAUACAGUCCUACAAACAUGUCAGGUAUGAUGUGUUUGGCCAAGCUAGACACUGAAGACGGUAUAGAGCUUAUAUUUGAUCGCUUGAAAAUAGUCCUCCUGACUUAUACAAUCCUUCAGCGGUUUACUCGUAAUGUCUUGAGGAUGUUAAGGAUCGCCAGGUAGUCUCAUAGCAUGCCCAACAUCACACUGACAACCUUCGAUUGGCUCGAGUCCAACUAAAACAACACCCAUGUCGCAGGUCCAUUGCAAACAACAUCCUAGCCUAGUUAGACAAUGCAAUUGAAGAGGGUUUUGUGGAUACCACGGGGCAGUUGCUCCAUGCUUGUGUUUGGUUGAGCCAUUGAAGAUGGAGCCUCAUCACCGAGAACUCAACAUUGCUCCACCCUAAUAUGAUUAUUGUUCAUGAUUUCCAUCUCUAAACUACCUCUACAUAGUGGAAUAGCUAAGGCCUCCAUUUAAAAACAUGGUAUGUACACCACCUAGCGCAACUAGUAGUAGAUUAAUUACAUGGGCUCCGAGUAUCCAAGCCGAGUCCAAAACGGACAACCUGCAGUUGGUCAAGUGGAUGACACUCGGUUUAGGUUAUUUGACUCAAAUGGUCCUCAUUGAGUUAGGUAUCCUUCAUAGUGUGCUUGACCUUCUUAAGCCUCUCCACCACUUACAUUAUCUUGGCAUUCUCAUCUACAAUGAAGUCACCACAAGUUUCUUCAAGAACUUUCUCAAUACAAACUCCAUUGCAAGUGGUUAGAUCACCAAAGGUGGAGGCAUUACCUUAGAAAUAGAAAUUGACCUUUAGGUAUAUUGAUUCAUGCACAAGGGGGGCUCUUUUGUAUUAACGACCACAAAUUUGGAUUAAAGUCACAAUGCUCCUUGUCUAAGAAAUGAAAAUUGUUAAGCAGUGAUUCAUAAUGAGUGAUAAAGUUGGACUGAGUUGUUCUUUAAUUUCUUUGAGGGCCUUAAUUUCUUUAGAUUGUCUUUUUAAAAAGCCUCUCUUAUUCAUGGAGAAAGUGAAGUAGGUUUUCUUCUUCAUCGAUGGAGUCAUCACUUACAUUGCUUUUCUUACACAUGGUCACAAGGCUAGACUUGGAGAGACGGGUGGUGAAAAUACAUUAUAUUAAGCAUGUUAGUCCAAACAUCGACAGGGCCUUCCCCUACUCCCUGUCAGUCGUUGCUAUAGUAGUGGCACCUAUAAUAUAGCAGGGUUCAUGUUGGAGUGCAUCAAGUUCUCUAAUUCCUUGAAUUAAGGGAAAAGUUCUUGUGUGGUUAGCUAGCCCACCUUUCCUUGAGUCUGAUUUUAGACAUUUAACUUGUAAGUUGUUCAAAUUUAGUUUUACAUUUCUAGAAAUAAUAAGAUAGUUUACUUUAUUAAAUUCAUUUUCUAUAUAUUUUAAAUAAAAAAGUGGAACCCAUGGCAUUUUUUAUAAAAAUACAAUCUAUCUGUUACUGCAAUGUUUGAAGUUAUUUGGAUGUAGUUGUAAUUGUUUCUAGUGUUUUAUUGCUCUUUGUUGUGCCUGUAAUUGAUACAGUUAUCGUUUUGUUCUUUAUUGAACUCAAAGAUCAACCAAAUGCAAAAAUAAUACCAAAUAUGUUGGAGUUGAAUUAACCAAAAAAAAAUUGAGGGCUAGCAAAUGAAUACUAGUUGCAAUGCCUAGAUACAAACUAUAUAUGGUGAAACAUGUUACCUACAGGUUGGUGUUUUCUUUUCCAGUCUAUUGUGUACUCCAAAUGGUUUAAUAGUUGAAAACUAUAAUUGAAAUAGAGAUAAUGUACAUGACCAUUGUCACACCCAUAUUUUAAGAACAAAAUAGGAUGCAUAAAAGACUUACAUGUGCCCCAGAAACAGUCGCACACAUAAGUAGACAAAUCUCAAAUGUACCAUUGCAGUGUUUAUUACAUAGCGGAAUAUAAGAUAUCACAUAGUCUCAUACAAAAAUGAUAGCAUAAAGUAAACAACGCUCUCGACGGAAGCUCCACACAGGGACACUGUUGACUGGUUGACUCCAAACCUAGUACUCAUAACGAUAAUCCUCAUUCCAGUCUUCUUCAUUAUCAUAUCCUAAGGUGUUGGGAAAUUGCAAGAGUGAGCACAUAUCGUACUCAACAAGUAUAACCAGGGGUUCAUGAGGCUCAAAUAGCUGACACUGGUUUGACUGCAUUUAGCUUUUAAUGGUGGAUAGCAUGUUCAUAAUUAAAUAGCAAUUGUCAAGGGGUUCAUGAGGCUCAAAUAGUCCUUUCUAAAAUAUAUUACGCCGGCUAACCGAAACAAAUGCGGAAUUAAAACUAUCGGUCUAGCCAAGACUACACCCCUCUAUCUAAGUUCUCUAGCACCUUGAAAAGAUCCUAAACAAGCAAGCAAGGUGCUACCUAAGCAAGAGCUCACCUAAUCAAAUCUAGGAGCAAGGUCACACAAACCUAUGCAACUAGUACUUUACAAACCGAGGGAGCUCCUACACAAACUAGUGAGGCAAAGCGCACAAAGCCUAAGCUCACUAGCAAGCUCAAUAAUAAGGCAACUAAUGCCAAAUUAGAGAGCACAACUUACUUAGCUACACAAACUAAGCAAUGUGACUAACAAGGUUACACAAACCAAAUUAGUCACGCAAGGGAACUACUUCUAGCUACACAAGCAAGAAGGUAACUAGCAAGCUACACAAGCUAACUAAUUACAAGAGCAACUACACAAGCACAAGUAUAUGAACGUAAGAACAAGCUUGUGUUAGGGACUUGCAAACCAACUGGAAGAACAAUGUUGACACGAUGAUUUUCUCCCGAGGUUCACUUGGUUGCCACCAAGCUACGUCCCCAUUGAGACAAGCUCCAAGGUUGCCGCCGGUCCUCUUGCAAGUGGUGACCCGCAAGUCACACUCUCCCACGUGGAGUGCUUACCACAAACUCUAGCACUUGACCCGGCCGGACCACUUGUCGCUCUUCACGUCUCGCUCAACUAGAGUUGCUCUUCGCGAUCCCCGCGGGGUGAGCACCGUACCCCUCACAAUCUCUUCUCCGGAGCACCGCACAAUCUCCUUGCGUGCUUCGACGGAGUCACAAGCCACCAAGCCGUCUAGGAGGUGGCAACCUCCAAGAGUAACAAGCACCACCGGCUUGCAACACGAACACCUAGUGCCACUCGAUGCAAUCUCUCAAUGCAACGCACUAGAAUCACUCACUCGCUAUUGAUUCGCACUCUUGCAAGCACAAGUGAGUUAGAGGCCUUCCUAGCACUCCCCAAGCAUGGACACUAAGUCCCAAGGGUGCUCAGCACCAGCCAAGGCCGGCCACCACUUCUAUUUAUAGCCCCAAGAGCUAAACUAGCCGUUGCCCCUUCACUGGACGAAACACGUGGGCACCGGACGCUCACAGGGAGCCACCGGACGCUCAACACCCAGCGUCCGGUGCUCUGCUGACCGCCACGUGUCACUAGCCGUUUGAAGUCGACCGUUGCCGCCAACGGCUACUGCGCACGCGCGCCUGCACAGCACCACCGGACGAUGGGCACCGGACGGUCCGGUGCUCACCGGACUCGUGCGCAGAGAGUUUGUCAAACUCGCGACCUCACCGGACGCUAGGCACCGGACGGUCCGGUGCUCACCGGACUCGUGCGCAGAGAGGGUUGCAAAAACCCCUCACACCGGACGCUAACCACCGGACGCUCUCAGAGUGCGUCCGGUGCUUAACCCUAGCAGGGUCAAGCUCAUCGGACGCUGAGGCCAGCGUCCGGUGCCUCCGCACUCAGCGUCCGGUGAGUGUUUCUCAGUGAGAAAACACUCCCGCGACUUCUCUAAAUUUCCCACCGGCGCAAUAGAAAAUAUACACUUAAUUUUCUCAAAAGCGCCGAACACCACCAAGUGUACACCACCAUGUGCAUGUGUGUUAGCAUUUUCACAAACAUUUUCCCAAAGGAGUUAGCCUCUCAAACUUGCCACGCCACUCGAUCCUAACACGUAUGCAAAGUUAGAUCGCUCAAGUGGCACUAGAUGACCGAUAUGCAAACAAGUUUGCCCCUCUUGAUAGUACGGCCAUCUAUCCUAAAUCCGGUCAUAAACUUCUCUACACACCUAUGACCGGUGAAAUGGAAAUGCCCUAGGUUAUACCUUUGCCUUGCGCUUUCCAUUCCAUCUCCUCCAAUGUUGAUGCAACACAUGCAUCAACCAAUCACCAAAUGAUAUGAUCCACUUCAUAUCAUCACAUGACCGUAUUGGUUCAUCGAUCUUGACCUCACUUGCUCUUCACCGUUGCCUCGGUCCAUCGGCGCCAAGUCUUGCUCAAGCUUCACCGUCACACGCGGUCCCUCGCUUCAAAGCCUCCGACUUGCCCUUCACUCUUGCAACCGGUCCAUCAAGCCAAGCCUCAUCUUGAUCUUCUCCACCUUGGUCACAUGACUCCAUGUCAUGUCUCAUAUGCAAUGAGCUCCUCCAUCAUCAUAUAAUCACCUGUGGACUAAUCUCCUGUGUAUCUCACAUAAACACUAUUAGUCCACCUAAGUUGUCACUCAAUUACCAAAACCAAACAAGGACCUUUCACUCGCACUAUACCUGUGUCGGUUCAGCCUCCGCCCUUUCGGGUAACCUCUAACAAGCUAGAAAAGGUCUCCAUACUGAGCUAAAGCCAGAGCCAUUAUAGCCCUCAUGGUUGCACUGUUAUCCCGGAUGAUCACGUACAGACAAGAUCUCAUACAGUUAUUUGUCAUUCUUUUAUGUUCAUUGCAUAGCUAGUAAUCAUCUUACAAGAUCAUGGAUUAUAUCAAGCACUAGCACAUCUACACCAAAUGCAUAUCAAGUAGGUAGCAAGGAAUACAGGUAACAAUCAUCUAUGAUUUUGCUAAGGUCGACAAGGUGAUAGCAUGCAUAUGUGAAUAGGUAACAAGGAUGAUCCCAAGUUAUACUUGCCUUGCUCAAAGCUCUCCUGAGCCUGCUGGUCCUCAAAAGCUUGGUCUUGGUCACCAACGUACGGCUCACCGUCUAUAACCGAUCAUCAAUCAACAACACGCAAUCUAAUAUAGACAAUCAUACACGAAGCAAACAAGAUAUAAUUAGAACAUUACACCAACCAGUGGGAAAACAAAGAUAAAAGUUUAUGAAAAUAUUCUACGCAGCGCUACGAUCACACAAACGUAAAGUUGACAAAAAUUGAAAUUAAAACGGAGAAGUUAUGUAUUUUCCAAGAUUUCCUAUAGAGAAAUAAUUAAUUAACUAGUACCAGGAAAUUAAAAAGUUUCAAAACAUAAAACUAAUAAUUCUAACAUGUAGUGCUCGUAAAUACGAAUCCAACGAAAUUUGAACGGACAAAAACAGAGUUAAAAUAAAUAUUUUAUAAGCAAAACCAAAGUGCUAGUUCGCUUUCCGCACAGCCCGGCCGGUUUCCAGCUCCGGCACGGUGGCGCGUCAUGGGCGCCAUGGGCGCCACCGGGAGCUCGUCUUCGGCGCACAGUGACUUCUCGUUUCCGAUCACCGUUUCGAGAAAGAAAAACUCCGGGAAGACGAGCAGCUCACCGCGAAGUGCGUCCUCGGUUCGGUCCUAAAGGAAGUAGGAGGAGCGCGCGGCGGCGGGAGAGCUCACGGUGAGAUCCGCUCCCAGGAAAAAAAUAUACGGCGAUUAGGGCUCGGUUUCUCCACUUGGACGCAAAGAGGGAACAGGGAGGUUGACCUAAGACUUUAUGGGGCUCGGUUUUGCGCGUGUUGGCAAGAAAUCACGAAUCGAAUUCCCGGGAUCGGAGUCCCGAUCCUUCACAGCUGGGAGAAGAAGGAAGGGCUCUGGCGUGUGGGUUCCGCGUCGCAGUGAGAGAAGGGGCAGGGCCCAGCUGGCAGUGAAGGAGGAAGGGGAAAUCAGCGCGCGGGCUUCCUGGGCCGCGCUGGACCGAGGCGAAGGGGAGAGGGGAUGCUCGGGCUGCGGCCUGAGAGGCUUACUUUCUCUUUUUUUUUCUAUUUUCUUUUUCAAUAGAGUUUUGUGUGCAAAAUAAAUUCUCAUAAAAAAACAACAAGCAUAGAAUAAAAUGUGCUCCAACAUGAAUGCAACAACAUGUUUCUAAAACUUAUGAUAAAUUUUAUUUUCCACAAAAUUAUUUAAGUGCUAAAUUUAAAUGCUCUCAAAAAUACUUAAUUAAAUCAAAUUAAAUCCUAUUAAUCUGAAAUCAAAUUUUGGGUGUAACAACCAUAGACUACAAAUACUAGGAAUAUAGGAACAAAUAAAUUCCAAAUAACUCAAUCAGAUCGCUAAAAAUAAUUAUGAUAUAUUUUUCUGUAAAUAUUUAGUACUAAUUUCAUAUUUUGUUGAUGUAAUAUAAAAAUAAGCAACAAGUUUAUUUGAGAGUAACUAAACAUCCUUUUUGACUGAAAUCAGCGCUCAUAUUUGCUUGUUGAAAAUCCAACGUGUGGGUUCUACUGUAGGCACGAGGAAUUUGAGUGCUUAGGCAGCUGAUAUUUACUGAAACGCAGAUAUUUUCUUCUUCUUUUGUCUUUUUUGACCAAGACGACGUCCGGACUGCUAAUGUCCUUAUCAUGCAUCCAACGCUUUCAGAAUGUCACUGUACUUGCAAUGAUCGUAGAGCAUACUGUACAGACCAAAUAAAAGGAUGGACACAGGAACCAUGGAGAACGUACGGCUAGCCUGGCGGCUCGAGAAAAUGUAUGUGGACUCCCAGAAUUGACAGACAUGAAACGAGACCCGACGCAUGAAAGCUUCAAUGACUCAAUUAUUUAUGUCUCCGAACCGAUCUAGGGCAAGAUUGCUUCAGACUUACUCCUAGAUAUAGUAUCAAUGUGUCGAGUGUUAGAUCAACUUCAUCCCUGUGCUCGGAUGUCGUUGAUCUAAACACUCGACAUGGCUGGGCCUUAGCAGCCGGGGUACGGGAACAUGGGCACGUUCCCCGUUCCGGGAACUUCGUCCCGAAACGUGGAACGGGAACAUCAUGGAACAUCGUUCCCAAAUGCGGUGGAACACGAAUCAUAUAUAGGAGCAAUCAUAGAAACAUCAGUCCCAAGCGACUAUGGAACUUCGUGGUGUGUGUGCAUACUGCGCCGUGCCCGUCCGUGAGCGGUCGGCGAAAAAUCUAGAUGGUGAUUGACUCAUUGGCCUAGACCUGCAAUGAGCCUUAAGGUUGGAGUUGGACAGCCCUAAAUGAAACAAAAAUACAAUAGUAAACUAUAUCACGCUAGGAAUCGAACUCAUUUGAUUCAAAACAACACGUAAAACUAUCUGAGCCAACCACUACGUCCCAAACACGUUCCUUUAGAAAGUGGAACGCGUUCCACAACUUAAAGGAACGAGACGAAGCUAUAUACCCCCUACGUUCCAUAGUUUAUGAGAAUGUCGUACCGCGUACCACGUUCCCGUACCACGUACCCUAUGUUCCGGGAACAUGGCUGCUAAGGGCUGGGCACCCACGUAUAACUAGCCAACAAGUUUAAUUUUCAAGCUUGUCCUCGUACUAUACUACUACUACCCAAGUUCCAAGCAAAUUGAUCUGUUUCGAUCUCACGCCACCUCAGCCUCCUCUUCUCUAAGGGGUUGUUUAGUUCAUGAAAUAUUUUGCAAAAGUUUUUAAAUUUUUUUCAUCACAUUAAAUCUUUCAACACAUGCAUGCAGCAUUAAAUAUAGAUAAAAAAUAAUUAAUUGCAUAGUUCACUUGUAAUUUGUAAGACGAAUCUUCUAAGGGCACUCACAUGCAAGACUCUAUCACAGAGUCCAAGAUAAUUAAUUAUACAUUAUUAUGGUAUUUUGCUGAUGUGGCAGUAUAUUUAUUGAAGAAAGAGGUAGAAAAAAUAAGACUCCAAGUCUUAUUUAGACUCUAAGUCCACAUUGUUCGAGGUAAUAAAUAACUUUAGACUCUAUGAUAGAGUCUGCAUUGUGAGUGCUCUAAGCCUACUAAUUAGUCUAUGAUUAGAAAAUAAUUGUCAAAUAGAAACAUAAGUGCUAUGUUAGUCAAAACUAAAAAAAAUUCACCAACUAAACAGCUCCUAAAUGGAAAACAUGCUGACACACGGUCACCCUAUUCGUAAAAUUUCAAGCUUUUCUUUAUCUUGGUAUCCACGGUAAAUGUUCAACGUUUCUAAAGCCACAAAAUGCGUUCGAUUCUUGCAAAGAAGCGAUGACCACGUCGUCGUAAAUGCUUACGGCCGUUUGAUUUGCUUGAUUGAGGGUUGCCGUUGCUUGCGCUGUUGUUCGCCAGAAGCUGCUUCACCCGCUUCGAAUCUCGCAGGCUGCUCCACCCGCUUUAAAUCUGGUCUUCCUAUCCCUUCUCCUGUGCUGCCGUUGUUGACCGCUUCUUUCGUUCUCGCUCACCUUGUCCUUUGGGCCUCAUUUUGAUGUAAAAAAUUUUUAGAAUUCGCUACUGUAGCACUUUCGUAUGUUUGUGGUAAAUAUUAUCCAAUCAUAGACUAACUAGGGUCAGCAGAUUCGUCUCGUGAUUUACAGGCAAUCUGUGUAAUUAGUUUCUGUUUUCGUCUAUAUUUAGUGCUUCAUGCAUGUGCCGUAAGAUUCGAUGUGAUGAAAAAUCUUGAAAACUUUUUGAAUUUUGGUGGGAACUAAACAAGGCCUUAGUGUAUCGCACCGCUCUUAGUCCUUGCUACUGUCGCUUUCGUCUUCCUUCCCUCUGGGUCGGUGCUCUCUGUCUUCCACCUCACUCCUCACUUCCUUGCUGCCUCUGUUCUGGGCCUCUGCUCCUCAUCGUCUCCACUCCGCUCACCGUCGUCCUCCGCGGCGUCCGUCGCUUACUUUUUUCCUUGCAUUGUGCUUGCCUACGGCCACUACACCUUGUUUAGUUCCUAAAAUAUUUUGCAAAAAUUUUCAUAUUUUUCAUCACAUCGAAUUUUACGGCAAAUACAUGGAGCACUAAAUAUAGAUAAAAGAAAUAACUAAUUAUAUAGUUUACCUAUAAUUUGCGAGACAAAUUUUUUGAGCCUAAUUAGUCUAUAAUUGGAUAAUAUUUGUCAAAUACAAACGAAAUUGUAACUAUUUCUAUUUUAUAAAAAAAAAUUAGAAGUAAACAAAGUCCAACAAAUACAAAGCCCAACAAAAUAUCAGAUAGCAACCGCACACGUGCGCGGAGGCGCACACCUGCCACUAGUUUAUAUAUCAUACAGUACACGCACUUUAGAGCUCGUUGAACAUCGGAGCUCAAGCUGACAGAUGAGCCUAUGCUUUUGCUGGAAUCCUAGUUUUGUGUACCAGUAGCUUUUAUGUUCUGUGAUGAAUCCUCUUUGGCCCAUCUGGCCCGUCAUGACUCUCGUAACAAAUUCUUUUAGAGCAACUCCAGCCCAGCAUGUAAAUUGGGCCUCUAUUUUUUCCAUUUGCAUGCUGGCAUGUAAAAAAUAGGGAUCCAAAAUCAAAUACAACUCCAGCCCAACACCCAAAAUCCAUUUGCGUACCUGUGCUUGUUCUCGGUCGGCGGCACCCUGCGGCCGGCGCUCCUCUCCGCUGCCAGCCCCACGGUCGCGGCGUGCGUUCCUCUCCUGCCCCCGCGGCCGCAGCCGGCGCUCCUCUCCUGCAACCGCGGCGCGAGGGAUUUCCGUGGGCAUUGGCAGGAUCGAUCUUCAGACAAAAGGAUUGCCCUGUUCUCCAAAACCUGCAGACAAUCUUCCUCGACACCAAGCUCAUCGUUCUUUUCCCCACUGUGCCUCUCGCCAUUGGACAGGUACAUACCCAUUUACCCCAUGACGACCCUCUGUUGCUGUGAUCCAUGUGAGGGCAAAUAUCUCAAGUUUUCACCAUAUUGAAGAAUCAUAUAGUGCAUCAAUUUUAGAGACACUUGUCUGUUUAAAUGGUGUUGCAAGAUUGAUGGUGUUGGGAGAGCAGCACUGCGUUCUUAUCGUUUUUGAAGGGGCUAUAUGCUAUUUGUCAACAAUGGGUAGGAGACAAAUAUGUCUAUGUACUAUUUUGAGUAGCAGUGAUUUUUCUGAUUGUAUACAAGAGUAGUACCGGGAACAAAGAUGAUGCUUGUCCUGACCCUUUUUAAUAGCAUUUUUUCUUUGGUUAAUUGAUUUGGUUGCUGACUACAGUAUAUGCCAUGCCACUAGAGUAUUUUGUGAAAGAGCUAGUAUUUUACUGUUUGAGUUAUGUUGCAUGGAUCUAUAGUAGUUGAAAUAGUUCUGACAAUAUUACUUACUAUUGUUAUAUGUAAAUUUCUGAAAUUAAUACACUAAUAAAAUAUUUUUACAAACAAAUAGAUAAUUUUGACAAUAUGGUUGUUUCCCCAAUAUGUCGAUUGAGAACUUUAAUUUUGAGAUGUGCUCUGAAUUUGCCUAACUAUUCAAGUUCCAAAACUGAUAGAUAAUUCUUCAUACAGAAUGCUCCCCUUGCCAACGUCGCUGAGAUUGAAAAGCUGAGUGUGAUGGAUGCUCGAGUUUCAACAUCUUCAGGUGAAUCCUUUGAUGGGUUACUGAUGGCUAUCAUUUUUCACAUGGCUGUACAUAUACAUUUAGUGCAGAAAUUUUGUAAUUAUCUGUGCAGCCAGCCUGCUAAGAACAGGUUGUGCUAAAUCAUUGUGCUGAGCUGAACAACCAUGUUGUUCAUUCUUUCGUUUAACUGUCAUGUUGCUAAAUCAGAGUGUCUAACUUGAUGGAGAAUUAAACCAGGUGUCCAGGUCCAAUACGAGUUUCUUCCAAUUUGGAUAACACAUAUUAACUAACAUGUUUAGAAGGGAGAGGAGUCUAAAAGACACUGGCUCAGUAGCUCAAAAAAAUUAUAUAACUUUGCAGGCACAUCUGUCAGCAAAACCAACAAUAUUUGAUCUGACAAUUCAUGGAUUUUAAGGUGCUACCAAAGCAAUACUUUCGACUGAGGAUACAAAAGGUUUUCCACACGCAAAUUAACCCAUCAAACACAGAACACACUAGAUCAUACAGAAUUGCAGCCUCCCACAGACACAAACGAGAUAAAAGCAGUAAUCACUCUGAUUCCAAACUAGUAGCUGCAGGUGAGUACAGAGAAGCAGGAAUUACGUUGAAUGGCGCAAGCUGGCCAGCCUCAGAGGAGUCGAUCUCCUUCAGCAGCUGCGAUGCAUGCCUCCCAUACAUCCUCCUCCUGAACCUACGAUGGCACUUGGGUAUUCCUGAGCAGGGAAGCUAAAAAUGUUCAGUCCAAAUUCCAAAAGGCUUCUAUCAAGCACAUACAAGUAAUUGCAGCCAAUGUAUAUGGCAUGAGCAACAAGCCAACAAAUUAGUACCAAUAUCAGGAUGGGCUCGACUCUCUCAACCUGAUUUGAGGACCAUUCUCAUUCUCACCCGCAAAAGGAUUCUAGUUUCACAAUUCAAUUUGGAUGAAAGUUGAAAAAAAAAAAAGAAAUCAUUCCUCCACAACGAAUGCGUCUUAUCUACAGCAAGAGCCCGAUCUGAAUCUAGGUGCAGCAAAAGAAAAGGAUUCAUGAGAGGGGAAUGGAACGUGCGUACGAAUUCGCGGACGAUGCCCUUGUAGACAAGGAUGGGGACGGCGAGGCCGAAGAAGCCGACGACAGCGAGGCUGCGGCGCGUCCAACGGAAGUUUAACUCGAGGUGCUCCCGGCCGGCGUUCCGCUCCUCGAUCCACUUGUUCAAGGUGCUGGUGCGGUGGAGGAGGGCCGGCCGUGGCGACGGUGCUGGUGCUGGUGCGGGGGCGCGUGCGGAGGAGGGAGGCCGCGAGGCCGCCGGCGGGGCGGCGCGUGCGGACGGGAGAGAGAGAGAGAGGGGAUAGGGAGCCGCUGGAUCUGGGGAGGGCAUUCAAAAUAGGGACCCAAAUAGAAGGUGGGCUAGAGUUAAUUUUUUUAAACCAAGUCCCUAGAUCUAGAAUAGGGGUAUAAAUAGGAGGUGGGCUGGAGUUGCUAUUAGCGCGGAAGCAAUGGCUGUACAGCCACCAUUCUCAGUCCUGGGCCAAAUUCAACUGUAUUGCUAUUGCCGCCGCACAACGCACGCGUCGGAGCCUAAAGCGCCAUUGGGCCUUAUUUCUUCCAUCCAUGGACACGUAUUUUUGGCACACCGAACAUUUUCUUUUGGACGAAGUCUAUUUUAGGUAUCUCAACUUUCGCUAAAGUCUGUUUUUUAUCCUUGAACUUCAAAACCGGGUAACAUACAUCCCUCAACUUUCGAAACCGUGCAUAUUACGUCCUUGACAUGGUUACGAGCGGUUUUGAAGGGCUGUUUUGUCUUUUUCAUUUUUAUUUAUUUCGGCUGAAUAUUUGUAAAAUUAUAGUAAAUCACAUAAAAUUCAUAAAAUAGUAAAUCUGAUUUUGUUGAACUCCAGAUAAGUAGAUCUACACAAUGAUUAUAUAAUAUAGUAUGCUUUAGUAGAAAGUUUUUGUUGUAGCUUUAGAUUUGUGUUUUCCUAUAAUUAAUUAGAAUAGUUCAUAGCUAUAGUUUAUAUGGUCCAAUUAUGAUGAAUUUUUUAUGUUGGGAUAAUUACUAUAUAUUUAAAUUGUGGUAAAAAUUUAAUACUCAUUAGAUCAUGUAUAACUUAGUUAUAGAUUUAUUAAGAUUUAACAAGCAUAGACCUAAAUAAAUCUAACUAAGUAAUACAUGAUCCAAUGAGUAUAAAAGUUUUAGUACAGCUCAAUCAUAGAAUAAUUAGCCCACCAUAUAAAUUUCAUCACAAUUGGACCAUAGAAACUGUAGCUAUAAAUAGUCUAAUUAAUUACAGAAAAGCAUAGAUAUAAAGCUGCAUAAAGAAAAUAUAUACUAAAAUAUACUAUAUUAUAUAUUUAAUAUGUAGAUCUACUCAUCUGAAGUUCAAAAAAAUUGAGCUUUCUAUUUUAUGAUUUUUAUGUGAUUUUUCAAAAAAUUCAGCCAAAAUAAAUAAAAAGAAAAAGACAAAACUGCUUUCAAAACUAGGUCAAGGAUGUAAUGUGCACGUUUUUAAAAGUUAAGGGAUGUAUUUUGUCUGGUUUUAGAGUUCAGGGAUGAAAAUUAGACUUUCGUGAAAGUUAAGGGACCUAAAGUGGACUUUUUUCUUUUCUUUUCUUUUCUUUUAUUUUUUCCCCAUUCUAACGUAGUCUCCUUUUUUUCUUUUCUUUUAUUUUCAUUUUCUUUGGCAUUUUAAUUAUCCUUUUGUUUAUUCAAAUAGAUUUCAUCCUUCCAUUUCAUUUUCUUUCUUUUAUUUUUCUCUCUACUCAUGAACUAGAAUAUUGUUAUCUUAAGAUAGGAAUAUAUUAUUCUCCUAAGCUGGAGACAUUAUUCUCUUUGGUUUCUAUUUCCUUUGCACUCCUAGAAUCAAAUACUUUUCUUCUAAACAUAGAAUAUUAGUUGCCUAAGCAUGGAAAAUAUUUUUUUUCUAAACUAAAAAUUAUUCUCCUUGACUAAAGUAUUAUUCUAUUCAUUUUCAUUGAUUUAAUUUUCUAGUUGUGGAUAAGAAUAAUCUCUUGACCUAGAAUAUAUAUCAUUCACGUGAACCUAAAAUAUUAUUCUCUAAAAAAUAAUAUUGUUUUGUUGGACUUGAGUGUUUUUCUUUAUGAAUACAAUGUUCUUAUGAAUGUGGAAUAUUAUUCUCCUAAACUUGGAAUAAUGUUAUUUUCCUAAUUUGGAAUGUAUAUUAUUUAGUUUUGCUCUUUAACUGUAUUAUUUUUCCAUUUAAAUUUCUUCCUAUUAUUGGACUAGAAUCUUAUUUACUCCUGAUUUAUAAUACAAAUUACCUUAACCUCAAAUUUAUUAUCCUAAUUAAAUCUAGAAUAUUAUUCUCCUUAAUCUUGACCUUUUUCUCGUAAAUGCGGUGAAGGAACCGUUGCCUUUAAGAGUGGGGGUUGAAUUACUUAAAACUAAGACCAAAAACCACUUAUGAAAACAUACUCAAGUUCUAUCUUGAUAUGCAAUAUAUUUUUGUAAGUAUUGCUUUGUCGGAUGCCAAAGAAUUUUGUGCCCUAAGUUCUAAUUCUAUGAACUAACCUAGCAAGCUAGGCUAUGAAGGUAAAAAAGCAUACAACCAAGGAAUAAUGCAAGAAUGUAAAUGUAGAAUAUAAACAGUUAGAGAAUGUGAACUUCAUGUAUGACUUGUUUUUACUGAGGUAUUGGAAAGCUCAUACUUUCCACUGAUCCUCAUUGGAGCCCCCUCACAAGGAUGCUCUCACAAGGGCCAAGCUUCAAAUCGGGCAACUCUAUGGAUAGUUCAAGAGCCUUUCCCCCAUGCAAGUGGUUUUCUACCAAGUAUCUCCUAGAUUCCCUCCACCAUCUCCACUUUGUAGAGCUUCAGCUAAAACACCGAGGGCCUCUCUUCUCUCGUACGCCAUCGGCGUGCACUCAACAAACACCUAAAGCAAAGAGCUAAUGUGGCUUGAACUAGCCUAAGCACCAAUUCUAAUGCUUUUGUUAAUUCCUAAUCUUCUCUUAAGCACAUGUGGUGUCUUAGAUAUGAGCCUCAACUCAACUGCGCUUUGAACCCGCUCCAACACACUUCAAAUGGUUGGGUAUGCGAGUAUAAGUAUCCCCCAACUAGACAUAGUAAUUAGGAUCUAUCUCAGCGGUAAGCACUGAAUAUCUUUGGUGACCACAUCGAAGAAAUCUGGUGCCCUACAUCUCACCAACUACUAGUUGCAGACAUAUCUGGCGCACAACCAAAAAAAUCGGUGGUUAGUCCAAAGCUCUCUAGAAUGCACCUCAUAAUAUAUUACUUCGAUGCCUCCACUAGAGAGCUCUGGUACUCUCUUUUGUUUUCUGCCACAUGUGCAUUGGCUCUAUUACAUAACUCCAAUACACUCUAGAAAUAUAUCGUGCACCUUUUUGUUCUUGUAUCUCAAACUCCAUUCACCGGAAAACUCCGGUGAUGACCCAAAAGUAACUCAGGACUUAUAGUACAACCAUGUAUGAGGACAACAUGUCUCUAGUCUUGUCUUAGUAAUCUAAACUACUCUAGCUUGUUAAUGAUUAUAGAAAGGUGCAAGAGGGCGUGCCUUUGUCGGGUGUGAUUCAACUUUCUAUCAUUUAUAUGUUAUUGUGAUGGUGUGUGUCAUUUUGGUAGGAGGCUGUACAUAUUUGUUGGGUAAAUCUGAAACCUCAUGGCUAGUAACUUGUUAGGAAGACUUUGGAAUAGCUAUAAUAAAAUCUUGCCGACUCACCUUCAAAAUGGUUCAUAGGUUAGCUUUAUCCCCGACGAAUGUAGAUCAUGACUCGUGGUUAAAGUUGUGUAUAGUCCGCAAAGUACUUAAAAUGAUAAGUUAAUCAUGAUCUCGAUCAUGAGCGGUAAGAAUCCUUUUUUAGUAGCUGAUUUACCAUGGAUUGUUUGGCAUAUGGCUUAAUGCUAUUGUAAUCCCUAAUUACUUACACUUUGGGGCUUAAGCAUAAUUUAGUUACUC
RNAcentral lists this long non-coding RNA (26527 nucleotides) under Sorghum bicolor (sorghum). RNAcentral describes it as "long non-coding RNA (SBIC_LNC000243)". Lineage: Eukaryota; Viridiplantae; Streptophyta; Magnoliopsida; Poales; Poaceae. The record is from RNAcentral.